UUAAGCAUAUCAAUAAGCGGAGGAAAAGAAACCAACCGGGAUUGCCUCAGUAACGGCGAGUGAAGCGGCAAGAGCUCAAAUUUGAAAGCUGGCCCCUCCGGGGUCCGCGUUGUAAUUUGCAGAGGAUGCUUUGGGUGCGGCCCCCGUCUAAGUGCCCUGGAACGGGCCGUCAGAGAGGGUGAGAAUCCCGUCUUGGGCGGGGUGUCCGUGCCCGUGUAAAGCUCCUUCGACGAGUCGAGUUGUUUGGGAAUGCAGCUCUAAAUGGGUGGUAAAUUUCAUCUAAAGCUAAAUACUGGCCGGAGACCGAUAGCGCACAAGUAGAGUGAUCGAAAGAUGAAAAGCACUUUGAAAAGAGAGUUAAACAGCACGUGAAAUUGUUGAAAGGGAAGCGCUUGCGACCAGACUCGCCCUCGGGGUUCAGCCGGCACUCGUGCCGGUGUACUUCCCCGGGGGCGGGCCAGCGUCAGCUUGGGCGGCCGGUCAAAGGCCUCCGGAAUGUAGUGCCCCCCGGGGCACCUUAUAGCCGGAGGUGCAAUGCGGCCAGCCUGGGCUGAGGAACGCGCUUCGGCACGGACGCUGGCAUAAUGGUCGCAAACGACCCGUCUUGAAACACGGACCAAGGAGUCUAACAUCUACGCGAGUGUUCGGGUGUCAAACCCGUACGCGCAGUGAAAGCAAACGGAGGUGGGAGCCCCCUCGCGGGGCGCACCAUCGACCGAUCCUGAUGUCUUCGGAUGGAUUUGAGUAAGAGCGUAAAUGUGGGGACCCGAAAGAUGGUGAACUAUGCCUGAAUAGGGCGAAGCCAGAGGAAACUCUGGUGAGGGCUCGCAGCGGUUCUGACGUGCAAAUCGAUCGUCAAAUUUGGGUAUAGGGGCGAAAGACUAAUCGAACCAUCUAGUAGCUGGUUCCUGCCGAAGUU
This 919-nucleotide ribosomal RNA is filed under the name Aspergillus violaceofuscus. RNAcentral's name for it is "LSU rRNA". It matches the Rfam family "Eukaryotic large subunit ribosomal RNA", at positions 34 to 968 of the family's 3401-position model. Lineage: Eukaryota; Fungi; Ascomycota; Eurotiomycetes; Eurotiales; Aspergillaceae. The record is from RNAcentral.